This 497-nucleotide ribosomal RNA is filed under the name uncultured bacterium. RNAcentral describes it as "partial 16S ribosomal RNA". It matches the Rfam family "Bacterial small subunit ribosomal RNA", at positions 28 to 507 of the family's 1533-position model. The record is from RNAcentral.
GACGAACGCUGGCGGCGUGCCUAAUACAUGCAAGUAGAACGCUGAAGAGAGGAGCUUGCUCUUCUUGGAUGAGUUGCGAACGGGUGAGUAACGCGUAGGUAACCUGCCUUGUAGCGGGGGAUAACUAUUGGAAACGAUAGCUAAUACCGCAUAACAAUGGAUGACACAUGUCAUUUAUUUGAAAGGGGCAAUUGCUCCACUACGAGAUGGACCUGCGUUGUAUUAGCUAGUAGGUGAGGUAAUGGCUCACCUAGGCGACGAUACAUAGCCGACCUGAGAGGGUGAUCGGCCACACUGGGACUGAGACACGGCCCAGACUCCUACGGGAGGCAGCAGUAGGGAAUCUUCAGCAAUGGGGGCAACCCUGACCGAGCAACGCCGCGUGAGUGAAGAAGGUUUUCGGAUCGUAAAGCUCUGUUGUAAGUCAAGAACGGGUGUGAGAGUGGAAAGUUCACACUGUGACGGUAGCUUACCAGAAAGGGACGGCUAACUACGUG